Molecule: long non-coding RNA, 340 nt
Organism: Oncorhynchus keta (chum salmon)
Lineage: Eukaryota; Metazoa; Chordata; Actinopteri; Salmoniformes; Salmonidae
Exons: 3
Source: RefSeq, a predicted model, not a curated record
UCACAGGGUUGAGAGGUGGUCAGAGACCGGGUCAGUACUCACAGGGUUGAGAGGUGGUCAGAGACCGGGUCAGUACUCACAGGGUUGAGAGGUGGUCAGAGACCGGGUCAGUACUCACAGGGUUGAGAGGUGGUCAGAGACCGGGUCAGUACUCACAGGGUUGAGAGGUGGUCAGAGACCGGGUCAGUACUCACAGGGUUGAGAGGUGGUCAGAGACCGGGUCAGUACUCACAGGGUUGAGAGGUGGUCAGAGACCGGGUCAGUACUCACAGGGUUGAGAGGUGGUCAGAGACCGGGUCAGUACUCACAGGGUUGAGAGGUGGUCAGAGACCGGGUCAGU